RNAcentral lists this ribosomal RNA (457 nucleotides) under uncultured bacterium. RNAcentral describes it as "partial 16S ribosomal RNA". It matches the Rfam family "Bacterial small subunit ribosomal RNA", at positions 338 to 795 of the family's 1533-position model. The record is from RNAcentral.
CCUACGGGUGGCAGCAGUGGGGAAUAUUGCACAAUGGGGGAAACCCUGAUGCAGCGACGCCGCGUGAGUGAAGAAGUAUUUCGGUAUGUAAAGCUCUAUCAGCAGGGAAGAAAUAAAGUCCUUCGGACUUUGGUUGGUACCUGACUAAGAAGAACCGGCUAACUACGUGCCAGCAGCCGCGGUAAUACGUAGGGGGCAAGCGUUAUCCGGAUUUACUGGGUGUAAAGGGAGCGUAGACGGUAGAGCAAGUCUGUAGUGAAAUCGCAUGGCUUAACCAUAGAACUGCUUUGGAAACUGUUCAGCUUGAGUGCAGGAGAGGUAAGCGGAAUUCCUGGUGUAGCGGUGAAAUGCGUAGAUAUUACGAGGAACACCAGUGGCGAAGGCGGCUUACUGGACUGUAACUGACGUUGAGGCUCGAAAGCGUGGGUAGCAAACAGGAUUAGAUACCCUAGUAGUC